UCGACUCCUAUCAAUCGGACCA
This 22-nucleotide unclassified non-coding RNA is filed under the name Dictyostelium discoideum. The record is from RNAcentral. Lineage: Eukaryota; Evosea; Eumycetozoa; Dictyosteliales; Dictyosteliaceae.